RNAcentral lists this ribosomal RNA (393 nucleotides) under uncultured bacterium. Its description in RNAcentral is "bacterial SSU rRNA". It matches the Rfam family "Bacterial small subunit ribosomal RNA", at positions 29 to 412 of the family's 1533-position model. The record is from RNAcentral.
AAUGAACGCUGGCGGCGCGCCUAAUACAUGCAAGUCGAGCGAGAAGACGUAGCAAUACGUUUGUAAAGCGGCGAACGGGUGAGGAAUACAUGGGUAACCUACCCUCGAGUGGGGAAUAACUAGCCGAAAGGUUAGCUAAUACCGCGUACGCUUCUUGGACUUCGGUUCAGGGAGGAAAAGCGAUGCCGAGGGUAUCGCGCUCUUGGAUGGGCUCAUGUCCUAUCAGCUUGUUGGGAGGUAACGGCUCACCAAGGCUUCGACGGGUAGCUGGUCUGAGAGGACGAUCAGCCACACUGGCACUGCGACACGGGCCAGACUCCUACGGGAGGCAGCAGUAAGGAAUAUUGCGCAAUGGGCGAAAGCCUGACGCAGCGACGCCGCGUGGGGGAUGAA